UACGAAGGGGGCUAGCGUUGUUCGGAAUUACUGGGCGUAAAGCGCGCGCAGGCGGCCUUUCAAGUCAGGGGUGAAAGCCCGGAGCUCAACUCCGGAAUUGCCUUUGAAACUGUCAGGCUCGAGUACGGGAGAGGUGAGUGGAAUUCCCAGUGUAGAGGUGAAAUUCGCAGAUAUUCGGAGGAAUACCAGUGGCGUAGGCGCCUAACUGGACGGUUAUUGACGCUCAGGCACGAAAGCGUGGGGAGCAAACAGG
This 253-nucleotide ribosomal RNA is filed under the name uncultured bacterium. RNAcentral's name for it is "partial 16S ribosomal RNA". It matches the Rfam family "Bacterial small subunit ribosomal RNA", at positions 524 to 776 of the family's 1533-position model. The record is from RNAcentral.